Molecule: ribosomal RNA, 377 nt
Filed under: uncultured bacterium
Lineage: Bacteria
Description: partial 16S ribosomal RNA
Rfam family: Bacterial small subunit ribosomal RNA
Source: RNAcentral
CCUACGGGUGGCAGCAGUGAGGAAUAUUGGUCAAUGGGCGCGAGCCUGAACCAGCCAAGUCGCGUGAAGGAUGACUGCCCUACGGGUUGUAAACUUCUUUUAUAAAGGAAUAAAGUGAGGCACGUGUGCCUUUUUGUAUGUACUUUAUGAAUAAGGAUCGUCUAACUCCGUGCCAGCAGCCGCGGUAAUACGGAGGAUCCGAGCGUUAUCCGGAUUUAUUGGGUGUAAAGGGAGCGUAGGUGGGUUGUUAAGUGGGUAGAGAAAGUUUGGGGUUCAAACGUAACAUGGCGAGUAAUACGGGCGGAAUUGAGUGCAGGUGUGACAAGUGGAAGUAGUAGUGUAGAGGGGGAAUGCGUAGAUAUUAGGAGGAAAAGAAG